Molecule: small nuclear RNA, 20 nt
Filed under: Arabidopsis thaliana (thale cress)
Lineage: Eukaryota; Viridiplantae; Streptophyta; Magnoliopsida; Brassicales; Brassicaceae
Description: snRNA_09298
Source: RNAcentral
GACCUUGAUCUUCUGAGAAG